AGUCGACGGGCUCAUAUUGAAACCUAGUGAUGUAUGAGUUAGUGGCGGACGGGUGAGUAACGCGUGGAGAACCUGCCGUAUACUGGGGGAUAACACUUAGAAAUAGGUGCUAAUACCGCAUAAGCGCACAGCUUCGCAUGAAGCAGUGUGAAAAACUCCGGUGGUAUACGAUGGAUCCGCGUCUGAUUAGCUGGUUGGCGGGGUAACAGCCCACCAAGGCGACGAUCAGUAGCCGGCCUGAGAGGGUGAACGGCCACAUUGGGACUGAGACACGGCCCAAACUCCUACGGGAGGCAGCAGUGGGGAAUAUUGCACAAUGGGGGAAACCCUGAUGCAGCGACGCCGCGUGAGUGAAGAAGUAUUUCGGUAUGUAAAGCUCUAUCAGCAGGGAAGAAAAUGACGGUGCCUGACUAAGAAGCCCCGGCUAACUACGUGCCAGCAGCCGCGGUAAUACGUAGGGGGCAAGCGUUAUCCGGAUUUACUGGGUGUAAAGGGAGCGUAGACGGCAGCGCAAGUCUGAAGUGAAAUCCCAUGGCUUAACCAUGGAACUGCUUUGGAAACUGUGCAGCUGGAGUGCAGGAGAGGUAAGCGGAAUUCCUAGUGUAGCGGUGAAAUGCGUAGAUAUUAGGAGGAACACCAGUGGCGAAGGCGGCUUACUGGACUGUAACUGACGUUGAGGCUCGAAAGCGUGGGGAGCAAACAGGAUUAGAUACCCUGGUAGUCCACGCCGUAAACGAUGAUUACUAG
Molecule: ribosomal RNA, 747 nt
Filed under: uncultured bacterium
Lineage: Bacteria
Description: bacterial SSU rRNA
Rfam family: Bacterial small subunit ribosomal RNA
Source: RNAcentral